This 324-nucleotide signal recognition particle RNA is filed under the name Pteropus alecto (black flying fox). RNAcentral describes it as "Metazoan signal recognition particle RNA". It matches the Rfam family "Metazoan signal recognition particle RNA". From Rfam's summary of the family: The signal recognition particle (SRP) is a universally conserved ribonucleoprotein. It is involved in the co-translational targeting of proteins to membranes. The record is from Rfam by way of RNAcentral. Lineage: Eukaryota; Metazoa; Chordata; Mammalia; Chiroptera; Pteropodidae.
GCUGGGUGCGGUGGCACGUGCCUGUAGUCACAGCUACUCGGGAGGCUGAGGCAGGAGGAUUGUUUGCGCCCAGGAGUUCCGGGCUGUAGCGCUCUAUGCCUAUCCGAUGUCCACGCUAAGUUCGCACUAAGUUCAGCAUCAGUAUGGUGACCCCCGCAGGAGCUGGAGACCACCAUGUUGCCUACGAAGGGGUGAACUGACACAGGUCUGAAACAGAGCAGGUCAAAACUCCCAUGUUGAUCAGUAGUGGGAUUGUACCUAUAAAUAGUGACUGCACUCAAGCCUGGGCUCCAGCCUGGGCAACACAGCAAGACCCAGUCUCUU